GACGAACGCUGGCGGCGUGCCUAAUACAUGCAAGUUGAGCGCUGAAGGUUGGUACUUGUUCCAAUUGGAUUAGCAGCGAACGGGUGAGUAACGCGUGGGGAAUCUGCCUUUGAGCGGGGGACAACUUUUGGAAACGAAUGCUAAUACCGCAUAAAAACUUUAAACACAAGGUUCAAGUUUGAAAGAUGCAAUUGCAUCACUUAAAGAUGAUCCCCCGUUGUAUUAGCUAGUUGGGGAGGUAAAGGCCCAUCAAGGCGAUGAUACAUAGCCGAACUGAGAGGGUGGUCGGCCAAAUUGGGACGUAGACAACGCCCAAACUCCUAACGGAGGCCGCCGUAGGGAAUCUUCGGACAUGGACGGAAGUCUGACCGAGCAACGCCGCGUGAGUGAAGAAGGGUGUCGGAUCGUAAAACUCUGUUGGUAGGGAAGAAAGUUGGUGAGAGUGGAAAACUCAUGAAGUGACGGUAACUAACCAGAAAGGGACGGCUAACUACGUG
RNAcentral lists this ribosomal RNA (497 nucleotides) under uncultured bacterium. RNAcentral's name for it is "partial 16S ribosomal RNA". It matches the Rfam family "Bacterial small subunit ribosomal RNA", at positions 28 to 507 of the family's 1533-position model. The record is from RNAcentral.